This 375-nucleotide ribosomal RNA is filed under the name Triticum aestivum (bread wheat). RNAcentral describes it as "partial small subunit ribosomal RNA". The record is from RNAcentral. Lineage: Eukaryota; Viridiplantae; Streptophyta; Magnoliopsida; Poales; Poaceae.
AUGUGCGGGAACCUGACUUCAAUUUGGUCAAACUUUUGGUGGGGUGCAGCAAAUGGGGAGAGGAAGGUGCAUUGGCUAGCAUGGGAGAAAAUGUGCAUGGCUAAAAGAGAUGGAGGGUUAGGCUUCAGAGACCCGGUUGCUUUCAACCAAGCUUUACAUGCUAAGCAGGCUUGGAGGGUACUGCAGUGUCCGGACUCCCUAUGCACUAGGGUUUUGAAGGCCCGGUACUUCAAAGAGGGACUAAUGAGCGCAACUUUUCCAUCUAGUGCAUAUUAUACGUUCUGCGGCAUGAUAUACGGGCGCGACUUGCUGAGAGAAGGCACAAUCUGGUGCAUAGGGGACGGGUCCAGAAUAAAUGUUCACCAUGAUAACUAG